This 1385-nucleotide ribosomal RNA is filed under the name Enterococcus durans. Its description in RNAcentral is "bacterial SSU rRNA". It matches the Rfam family "Bacterial small subunit ribosomal RNA", at positions 74 to 1441 of the family's 1533-position model. Lineage: Bacteria; Bacillati; Bacillota; Bacilli; Lactobacillales; Enterococcaceae. The record is from RNAcentral.
CGGAGCUUGCUCCACCGGAAAAAGAAGAGUGGCGAACGGGUGAGUAACACGUGGGUAACCUGCCCAUCAGAAGGGGAUAACACUUGGAAACAGGUGCUAAUACCGUAUAACAAUCGAAACCGCAUGGUUUUGAUUUGAAAGGCGCUUUCGGGUGUCGCUGAUGGAUGGACCCGCGGUGCAUUAGCUAGUUGGUGAGGUAACGGCUCACCAAGGCCACGAUGCAUAGCCGACCUGAGAGGGUGAUCGGCCACAUUGGGACUGAGACACGGCCCAAACUCCUACGGGAGGCAGCAGUAGGGAAUCUUCGGCAAUGGACGAAAGUCUGACCGAGCAACGCCGCGUGAGUGAAGAAGGUUUUCGGAUCGUAAAACUCUGUUGUUAGAGAAGAACAAGGAUGAGAGUAACUGUUCAUCCCUUGACGGUAUCUAACCAGAAAGCCACGGCUAACUACGUGCCAGCAGCCGCGGUAAUACGUAGGUGGCAAGCGUUGUCCGGAUUUAUUGGGCGUAAAGCGAGCGCAGGCGGUUUCUUAAGUCUGAUGUGAAAGCCCCCGGCUCAACCGGGGAGGGUCAUUGGAAACUGGGAGACUUGAGUGCAGAAGAGGAGAGUGGAAUUCCAUGUGUAGCGGUGAAAUGCGUAGAUAUAUGGAGGAACACCAGUGGCGAAGGCGGCUCUCUGGUCUGUAACUGACGCUGAGGCUCGAAAGCGUGGGGAGCAAACAGGAUUAGAUACCCUGGUAGUCCACGCCGUAAACGAUGAGUGCUAAGUGUUGGAGGGUUUCCGCCCUUCAGUGCUGCAGCUAACGCAUUAAGCACUCCGCCUGGGGAGUACGACCGCAAGGUUGAAACUCAAAGGAAUUGACGGGGGCCCGCACAAGCGGUGGAGCAUGUGGUUUAAUUCGAAGCAACGCGAAGAACCUUACCAGGUCUUGACAUCCUUUGACCACUCUAGAGAUAGAGCUUCCCCUUCGGGGGCAAAGUGACAGGUGGUGCAUGGUUGUCGUCAGCUCGUGUCGUGAGAUGUUGGGUUAAGUCCCGCAACGAGCGCAACCCUUAUUGUUAGUUGCCAUCAUUCAGUUGGGCACUCUAGCAAGACUGCCGGUGACAAACCGGAGGAAGGUGGGGAUGACGUCAAAUCAUCAUGCCCCUUAUGACCUGGGCUACACACGUGCUACAAUGGGAAGUACAACGAGUCGCGAAGUCGCGAGGCUAAGCUAAUCUCUUAAAGCUUCUCUCAGUUCGGAUUGUAGGCUGCAACUCGCCUACAUGAAGCCGGAAUCGCUAGUAAUCGCGGAUCAGCACGCCGCGGUGAAUACGUUCCCGGGCCUUGUACACACCGCCCGUCACACCACGAGAGUUUGAACACCCGAAGUCGGGAGGUAACCU